RNAcentral lists this transfer RNA (72 nucleotides) under Mus musculus (house mouse). RNAcentral's name for it is "tRNA-Asn". Lineage: Eukaryota; Metazoa; Chordata; Mammalia; Rodentia; Muridae. The record is from RNAcentral.
GGUGAGAUGGCUCAGUGGGUAAGAGCACCCGACUGUUCUUCCGAAGAUCCAGAGUUCAAAUCCCAGCAACCA